AGUGAACGCUGGCGGUAGGCCUAACACAUGCAAGUCGAACGGCAGCACAGUAAGAGCUUGCUCUUACGGGUGGCGAGUGGCGGACGGGUGGGGAAUACAUCGGAAUCUACUUUUUCGUGGGGGAUAACGUAGGGAAACUUACGCUAAUACCGCAUACGACUUACGGGUGAAAGCAGGGGAUCUUCGGACCUUGCGCGAUUGAAUGAGCCGAUGUCGGAUUAGCUAGUUGGCGGGGUAAAGGCCCACCAAGGCGACGAUCCGUAGCUGGUCUGAGAGGAUGAUCAGCCACACUGGAACUGAGACACGGUCCAGACUCCUACGGGAGGCAGCAGUGGGGAAUAUUGGACAAUGGGCGCAAGCCUGAUCCAGCCAUACCGCGUGGGUGAAGAAGGCCUUCGGGUUGUAAAGCCCUUUUGUUGGGAAAGAAAAGCAGCAGGUUAAUACCCCGCUGUUCUGACGGUACCCAAAGAAUAAGCACCGGCUAACUUCGUG
This 492-nucleotide ribosomal RNA is filed under the name uncultured bacterium. RNAcentral describes it as "partial 16S ribosomal RNA". It matches the Rfam family "Bacterial small subunit ribosomal RNA", at positions 29 to 507 of the family's 1533-position model. The record is from RNAcentral.